AUGAACGCUGGCGGCGUGCCUAAUACCUGCAAGUCGAGCGAACAGACGAGGAGCUUGCUCCUCUGACGUUAGCGGCGGACGGGUGAGUAACACGUGGAUAACCUACCUAUAAGACUGGGAUAACUUCGGGAAACCGGAGCUAAUACCGGAUAAUAUAUUUAACCGCAUGGUUCAAUAGUGAAAGACGGUUUUGCUGUCACUUAUAGAUGGAUCCGCGCCGCAUUAGCUAGUUGGUAAGGUAACGGCUUACCAAGGCAACGAUGCGUAGCCGACCUGAGAGGGUGAUCGGCCACACGAGAACUGAGACACGGUCCAGACUCCUACGGGAGGCAGCAGUAGGGAAUCUUCCGCAAUGGGCGAAAGCCUGACGGAGCAACGCCGCGUGAGUGAUGAAGGUCUUCGGAUCGUAAAACUCUGUUAUUAGGGAAGAACAAAUGUGUAAGUAACUAUGCACGUCUUGACGGUACCUAAUCAGAAAGCCACGGCUAACUACGUG
Molecule: ribosomal RNA, 496 nt
Filed under: uncultured bacterium
Lineage: Bacteria
Description: partial 16S ribosomal RNA
Rfam family: Bacterial small subunit ribosomal RNA
Source: RNAcentral